RNAcentral lists this ribosomal RNA (550 nucleotides) under uncultured bacterium. RNAcentral's name for it is "bacterial SSU rRNA". It matches the Rfam family "Bacterial small subunit ribosomal RNA", at positions 746 to 1296 of the family's 1533-position model. The record is from RNAcentral.
CUGAGACACGAAAGCGUGGGUAGCAAACAGGAUUAGAUACCCUGGUAGUCCACGCCCUAAACGAUGCAUAUUUGGUGUGGGCAGUUCAUUCUGUCCGUGCCGGAGCUAACGCGUUAAAUAUGCCGCCUGGGGAGUACAGUCGCAAGGCUGAAACUCAAAGGAAUUGACGGGGGCCCGCACAAGCGGUGGAGCAUGUGGUUCAAUUCGACGCAACGCGAAGAACCUUACCUGGGCUCGAACGGCUUCUCAACGCCGGUAGAAAUACUGGUACCCCGCAAGGGGGUGGAGUCGAGGUGCUGCAUGGCUGUCGUCAGCUCGUGUCGUGAGAUGUUGGGUUAAGUCCCGCAACGAGCGCAACCCUUGUCCUGUGUUGCCAUCAUUCAGUUGGGAACUCGCAGGAGACCGCCAGCGAUAAGCUGGAGGAAGGUGGGGAUGACGUCAAGUCCUCAUGGCCUUUAUGUCCAGGGCUACACACGUGCUACAAUGGACGGUACAAACCGCAGCAAACCCGCGAGGGGGAGCCAAUCGGAAAAAACCGUUCUCAGUUCGG